GUUAAACUGCUACACGCACACAAGUUUCGGCCUUGUUUUAGAGGAAACCUCGUUUAAUUU
RNAcentral lists this transfer RNA (60 nucleotides) under Cornu aspersum (brown garden snail). RNAcentral's name for it is "Helix aspersa (brown garden snail) tRNA-Arg". The record is from RNAcentral. Lineage: Eukaryota; Metazoa; Mollusca; Gastropoda; Stylommatophora; Helicidae.